Molecule: ribosomal RNA, 479 nt
Filed under: uncultured bacterium
Lineage: Bacteria
Description: SSU rRNA
Rfam family: Bacterial small subunit ribosomal RNA
Source: RNAcentral
AGGACGAACGCUGGCGGCGUGCUUAACACAUGCAAGUCGAGCGAGGCCCCACCUUCGGGUGGGUGUCCUAGCGGCGAACGGGUGAGUAACACGUGGGCAACCUGCCCCUAGCACUGGGAUAACCCCGGGAAACCGGGGCUAAUACCGGAUAUCACUUCGGAGGGCAUCCUCUGGUGUUGAAAGGGUUACUGGCUAGGGAUGGGCCCGCGGCCUAUCAGCUUGUUGGUGGGGUAAAGGCCUACCAAGGCGACGACGGGUAGCCGGCCUGAGAGGGCGACCGGCCACACUGGGACUGAGACACGGCCCAGACUCCUACGGGAGGCAGCAGUGGGGAAUAUUGCACAAUGGGCGAAAGCCUGAUGCAGCGACGCCGCGUGAGGGAUGACGGCCUUCGGGUUGUAAACCUCUUUCAGCAGGGACGAAGCGAAAGUGACGGUACCUGCAGAAGAAGCACCGGCCAACUACGCGCCAGCAGCCGC